AAACCUGCAUGCCAAAGAGAAGUACUAAUCACUUUUCCUGUGAACCGGCCUUUUAACCUCCUGCCUGUCCAGCCUCCAACUCAACACACCGCUGUCCAAUCAUAACUUACCUCCCUUCCUGGAAACAUCUCCACCUAAAAUGAACCAACCAGCAGAAACUGGACUCCUCGACAUCCCGUUAAUUUCUGUUUGUCAAUAAACCCGCUAAACCUUAA
Molecule: long non-coding RNA, 215 nt
Organism: Girardinichthys multiradiatus
Lineage: Eukaryota; Metazoa; Chordata; Actinopteri; Cyprinodontiformes; Goodeidae
Exons: 2
Source: RefSeq, a predicted model, not a curated record